GAUGAACGCUGGCGGCGUGCUUAACACAUGCAAGUCGAGCGAGAAGUUUUGAAAAGAUUCUUCGGAUGAAAUGUAAAAUGGAAAGCGGCGGACGGGUGAGUAACGCGUAGGCAACCUGCCCCAUACAAAGGGAUAGCAUUUGGAAACGAAUAUUAAUACCUUAUGAAACUUAACUAGUGCAUGCUAGGUAGGUCAAAGAUUUAUCGGUAUGGGAUGGGCCUGCGUCUGAUUAGCUAGUUGGUGAGGUAACGGCUCACGAACGCGACGAUCAGUAGCCGACCUGGGAGGCUGGACGGACACAUUGGGAGUGAGACACGGUCCAAACUCCUACGGGAGGCAGGAGUGGGGAAUAUUGCACAGUGGGGGAAACACUGAUGAAGCCACGCUGCGUGAACGAUGACGGCCUUUGGGUCGUAGAGUUCUGUUGUAGGUGAUGGAAACUGACGGUAACCGAGGAGAAAGCCCCGGCUAACUCCGUG
This 479-nucleotide ribosomal RNA is filed under the name uncultured bacterium. RNAcentral describes it as "partial 16S ribosomal RNA". It matches the Rfam family "Bacterial small subunit ribosomal RNA", at positions 28 to 507 of the family's 1533-position model. The record is from RNAcentral.